This 405-nucleotide ribosomal RNA is filed under the name uncultured bacterium. Its description in RNAcentral is "bacterial SSU rRNA". It matches the Rfam family "Bacterial small subunit ribosomal RNA", at positions 356 to 773 of the family's 1533-position model. The record is from RNAcentral.
GGGGAAUAUUGCACAAUGGGCGCAAGCCUGAUGCAGCAACGCCGCGUGAGGGACGACGGCCUUCGGGUUGUAAACCUCUUUUAGCAGGGAAGAAGCGAAAGUGACGGUACCUGCAGAAAAAGCACCGGCUGACUACGUGCCAGCAGCCGCGGUAAUACGUAGGGUGCAAGCGUUAUCCGGAAUUAUUGGGCGUAAAGAGCUCGUAGGCGGUUUGUCGCGUCUGCUGUGAAAACCCGAGGCUCAACCUCGGGCCUGCAGUGGGUACGGGCAGACUAGAGUGCGGUAGGGGAGAUUGGAAUUCCUGGUGUAGCGGUGGAAUGCGCAGAUAUCAGGAGGAACACCGAUGGCGAAGGCAGAUCUCUGGGCCGUAACUGACGCUGAGGAGCGAAAGCAUGGGGAGCGAAC